Molecule: long non-coding RNA, 1162 nt
Organism: Pectinophora gossypiella (pink bollworm)
Lineage: Eukaryota; Metazoa; Arthropoda; Insecta; Lepidoptera; Gelechiidae
Exons: 3
Source: RefSeq, a predicted model, not a curated record
AAGGCAAUGAAGAAAAAGAAUUUGUUUCAAGCCAACGUGGAUUUCCUCUGAUGGAAACGCGAGUUACGGCUCGGGCCGCGGAUCGUGAAGCAACCUGUGCAGACCCGAUUGGCAUCACAUCAUCGCUUUUAGACGAAGAAAAAUUAGAAUUUAUUCCAAGCAACGGUGGCAAAUUUACUCUGGUGUAUAAAGGGUACACUUACUACAGCAAGUGCAAUAAUACAAGUCGUUGGUACUGCUCGAAGACACUCUUCGGCUGUACAGCUAAAGUAAUCACGACCAAAGAUGGAGGUUCUUUCUUAGAUGCUACUGGUUUCCAUGACCAUCCCCCGCCAAAUCUUUUUCAACUUCCUGAUGGCACAUUUCACCUUGUUUGAUGUACCUAUGAUUGAAUAUGAAACUUUUACCGCUUAAGUCAAGACAAUAGCCUUGAGUACAUCCCAAGCAACAAGGGGAAGAAGUUUAACCUUGUCUAUCAAGGGUUUACCUACUACAGAAUGCAUAGUAAAACGAGAUGGUAUUGCUCAAAGAAAUAUGUUGGAUGCAAUGCCAAGGUCUGCACGACGCCAACUGGACAACUAGUGGCUGUUUUGGGCAACCACGAUCAUCGUCCACCCACUCUAUAUCGUGCAUCUGAUGGAAAAGUCACCCGUGUAUAGGUAAUUGUGAAGGUAUAUCAUCUAUCUCUUCUUUGCUCAUUCCCAUGAUCCUAAUUUGACGGAAGAAGAAGAGUGAAGUAUAAGGAGUGGAAUUCUCUGCCGUCUUCUGUAUUUCCGAAUGCACAUACCUAACCCGGGUGAUUUCAAGGCCAGAGUGAACAGGCACCUUCUGGGCGAGCUCCAUCUUAGGUUCCUCGUCAAUGCCUUCGGGCAAGCCUGAGGCCAAGAGCAAACCCAUCAAUGGUAAAAAAAAUCCUGUCCGUGGUAGUCUACAUGUAAGUGACUUCAAAACAUGAUUAUUUCAUACAAAAGACAUUGUAGAUCUUUGUAUGAGCUUUGGUCCAAAUGCUGCCCAGGUAGUGCCUGUGCUGGUUUUAGAUACUAAUGGCAUUGAUUUGUGACUUUUAGUUAUAUUAAAUCCAUAGUUAUAUUUUUUUUGAAGUUUGUUUGCUUGUCGCAAUUUUUUGUAUUUUUUUUUAUUUGUAUUCCUGUGUUGUAUGUUC